GGGAAUGUGGCUCAGUGGUAGAGUGCUUGUUUAGCAUUCAUGAAGCCCUGGGUUCAAUUCCUCAGUACCA
This 70-nucleotide transfer RNA is filed under the name Dipodomys ordii (Ord's kangaroo rat). It matches the Rfam family "tRNA". Rfam says of the family: Transfer RNA (tRNA) molecules are approximately 80 nucleotides in length. Their secondary structure includes four short double-helical elements and three loops (D, anti-codon, and T loops). Lineage: Eukaryota; Metazoa; Chordata; Mammalia; Rodentia; Heteromyidae. The record is from Rfam by way of RNAcentral.